GAUGAACGCUGGCGGCGUGCUUAACACAUGCAAGUCGAACGAUGAAGCCCAGCUUGCUGGGUGGAUUAGUGGCGAACGGGUGAGUAACACGUGAGUAACCUGCCCUUAACUCUGGGAUAAGCCUGGGAAACUGGGUCUAAUACCGGAUAGGAGCGUCCACCGCAUGGUGGGUGUUGGAAAGAUUUAUCGGUUUUGGAUGGACUCGCGGCCUAUCAGCUUGUUGGUGAGGUAAUGGCUCACCAAGGCGACGACGGGUAGCCGGCCUGAGAGGGUGACCGGCCACACUGGGACUGAGACACGGCCCAGACUCCUACGGGAGGCAGCAGUGGGGAAUAUUGCACAAUGGGCGCAAGCCUGAUGCAGCGACGCCGCGUGAGGGAUGACGGCCUUCGGGUUGUAAACCUCUUUCAGUAGGGAAGAAGCGAAAGUGACGGUACCUGCAGAAGAAGCACCGUCUAACUACGUG
Molecule: ribosomal RNA, 466 nt
Filed under: uncultured bacterium
Lineage: Bacteria
Description: partial 16S ribosomal RNA
Rfam family: Bacterial small subunit ribosomal RNA
Source: RNAcentral